RNAcentral lists this ribosomal RNA (301 nucleotides) under uncultured bacterium. Its description in RNAcentral is "partial 16S ribosomal RNA". It matches the Rfam family "Bacterial small subunit ribosomal RNA", at positions 509 to 807 of the family's 1533-position model. The record is from RNAcentral.
CAGUCGCCGCGGUAAAACGUAGGUGGCAAGCGUUGUCCGGAAUUAUUGGGCGUAAAGGGCUCGCAGGCGGUUUCUUAAGUCUGAUGUGAAAGCCCCCGGCUCAACCGGGGAGGGUCAUUGGAAACUGGGUAACUUGAGUGCAGAAGAGGAGAGUGGAAUUCCACGUGUAGCGGUGAAAUGCGUAGAGAUGUGGAGGAACACCAGUGGCGAAGGCGACUCUCUGGUCUGUAACUGACGCUGAGGAGCGAAAGCGUGGGGAGCGAACAGGAUUAGAUACCCGUGUAGUCCCUGUCUCUUAUAC